CGGCUAUCAAGGCUGCGUUUCUCAGACUGAACCUCUCUCUCCACUGUGUUGUGGGAACAGGGACACCGGUAACCAGCAGCCUCCUUGAUAGGGGCUCCUGGUAAAUGCCGCCACCACGGGAGACAGGAGCAAGAUGGAAACAAAGCCCCUGGACGUCACACUCACAGAAUCACCGACCCUGCGCUUGGAGGAUCCCUUGGAAACGUCCCACUAGAUGUUGGCCGGAGCCACAGUGUGUUUUAUUUUCGAAAAUCAAAGCUGCCCUCUGCAUCAUGUAGCUUCUUGUCUGCCAUGGGGCUGACCUCCAUGCCAGCUCACUCAAAUGCAUGAUUUUUUCCUGUCUGGUCUUCAUUCUUCUCCUCCAGGUAGCUGAUGUGAUUUAUGACACGCCUACUCUGAAAUUUUGCUUUUAAACACAAUUGUCCUUAAGCCUCCAUUUGAGUCCAUUUAAAAAUUUUUUGAGUCAUAAGAUGAAGCACCCCAAGAGGGGAUCCUAUUUCCGACCUUCGAAAUAUUCCCUGAUAGUUAUACCAGGGAUCAAAGUCUUCGUGUUCCUGCUAAUGUCAACAGAGACACGGAUUUUACUCACAGAGGAAAAGUCAGCUUGGCUGCAGACGUGUCAGAGGAAGUGGGCGGAAUGGAAGACCCUCAUUCCCCAUCUCCAGGUCUGCUGAGCCUGGACUGAAUAAAGGGAGGACUUAGAUCUGUGGCUUCCAGAGCUUGCCUGCAUCUACACCCACCCUAGGGGACAGCUGAAGGGAGGGGUGUGGCACGAACAACACAGAGGGUAACUGAGCAGCCAGGGAGAGUUAAUGGACUUGGAGGCAGCACCGGAAGUGCAAAUUGCCGAGGAGAAGAAAGUCCCUAGGAGUGGUCUGCCAGGAACAACCGUCAACCCUCACCCCCACAUCAGUGAGAUCAGGACUCCAUCUGGCUUGAGGAAAAUAAAGUCUAUAGUGUCUAA
Non-coding RNA from Myodes glareolus (Bank vole), 964 nucleotides. NCBI's taxonomy places the organism in Eukaryota, Metazoa, Chordata, Mammalia, Rodentia, Cricetidae. The record is from RefSeq and is a predicted model, not a curated record.